Molecule: unclassified non-coding RNA, 188 nt
Filed under: uncultured fungus
Lineage: Eukaryota; Fungi
Description: sequence contains ITS1
Source: RNAcentral
UUGACUUAUUUGUAGUCUACUCAGAAUACACUGUAAUUCAGGGUUUGGUUUGCGUGCCACCGGCAGGCGCCCCGCGAGGGAGGCUGCGCCCCGUACAGGGCGCCCCGCCGAAGCAACGAUAGGUAUGUCCACGAGGGUUGGGAGUUUAAAACUCGGUAAUGAUCCCUCCGCUGGUUCACCAACGGAGA